AGAGUAAGUUGUUUGGUCGCGUGCUUAGGCAUGAGGAAAGUCCGUGCUCCAUAGAGCAAGAUGCUGGAUAACGUCCAGUGGGGGUGACCCUAAGGAAAGUGCAACAGAGAUAUACCGCCUAUUCGUAGGUAAGGGUGGAAAGGCGAGGUAAGAGCUCACCAGCAUUUAGGUGACUAAAUGGCUAUGUAAACCCCAUCUGGAGCAAGACCAAGUAGGAACUACAAAAAGCAGCUGCUCGUUGCUGUUCCAAAGGUAGGUCGCAUGAGCUUAUUGGUAACAAUAGGCCUUAGAUAGAUGACCAUAUAAACAGAACACGGCUUAUAGAUUUACUCUACUA
Molecule: RNase P RNA, 337 nt
Filed under: Tissierellia bacterium
Lineage: Bacteria; Bacillati; Bacillota; Tissierellia
Description: RNase P RNA component class A
Rfam family: Bacterial RNase P class A
About the family: Ribonuclease P (RNase P) is a ubiquitous endoribonuclease, found in archaea, bacteria and eukarya as well as chloroplasts and mitochondria. Its best characterised activity is the generation of mature 5'-ends of tRNAs by cleaving the 5'-leader elements of precursor-tRNAs.
Source: RNAcentral